GGGACGUUAGUAAACUAAUUACAUAGCCUUGUCAAGACUAAAUCACGAGUGAGAACCUCGUACAUCCCA
RNAcentral lists this transfer RNA (69 nucleotides) under Aerodramus maximus (black-nest swiftlet). RNAcentral describes it as "tRNA-Asp". The record is from RNAcentral. Lineage: Eukaryota; Metazoa; Chordata; Aves; Apodiformes; Apodidae.